Molecule: ribosomal RNA, 99 nt
Filed under: Lachnospiraceae bacterium OF09-6
Lineage: Bacteria; Bacillati; Bacillota; Clostridia; Lachnospirales; Lachnospiraceae
Description: partial 23S ribosomal RNA
Rfam family: Bacterial large subunit ribosomal RNA
Source: RNAcentral
AUAAGACCCCUUGAAGACGACGAGGUAGAUAGGGCAGAGGUGGAAGUGCAGUAAUGUAUGGAGCUGACUGUCACUAAUAGGUCGAAGGCUUGACCAAAA